AUUGAACGCUGGCGGCAUGCCUUACACAUGCAAGUCGAACGGUAACAGGUCUUCGGAUGCUGACGAGUGGCGAACGGGUGAGUAAUACAUCGGAACGUGCCCGAGAGUGGGGGAUAACGAAGCGAAAGCUUUGCUAAUACCGCAUACGAUCUCAGGAUGAAAGCAGGGGACCGCAAGGCCUUGCGCUCACGGAGCGGCCGAUGGCAGAUUAGGUAGGUGGUGGGAUAAAAGCUUACCAAGCCGACGAUCUGUAGCUGGUCUGAGAGGACGACCAGCGACACUGGGACUGAGACACGGCCCAGACUCCUACGGGAGGCAGCAGUGGGGAAUUUUGGACAAUGGGCGCAAGCCUGAUCCAGCCAUGCCGCGUGCAGGAUGAAGGCCUUCGGGUUGUAAACUGCUUUUGUACGGAACGAAAAGACUCUGGUUAAUACCUGGGGUCCAUGACGGUACCGUAAGAAUAAGCACCGGCUAACUACGUGCCAGCCGCCGCUGUAA
This 498-nucleotide ribosomal RNA is filed under the name uncultured bacterium. RNAcentral's name for it is "partial 16S ribosomal RNA". It matches the Rfam family "Bacterial small subunit ribosomal RNA", at positions 30 to 523 of the family's 1533-position model. The record is from RNAcentral.